Molecule: ribosomal RNA, 1431 nt
Filed under: Klebsiella pneumoniae
Lineage: Bacteria; Pseudomonadati; Pseudomonadota; Gammaproteobacteria; Enterobacterales; Enterobacteriaceae
Description: bacterial LSU rRNA
Rfam family: Bacterial large subunit ribosomal RNA
Source: RNAcentral
UCCAGGCAAAUCCGGAUAAUCAAGGCUGAGGUGUGAUGACGAGGCACUACGGUGCUGAAGUAACAAAUGCCCUGCUUCCAGGAAAAGCCUCUAAGCAUCAGGUAACAUCAAAUCGUACCCCAAACCGACACAGGUGGUCAGGUAGAGAAUACCAAGGCGCUUGAGAGAACUCGGGUGAAGGAACUAGGCAAAAUGGUGCCGUAACUUCGGGAGAAGGCACGCUGGUGUGUAGGUGAAGCCCCUGCGGGUGGAGCUGAGACCAGUCGAAGAUACCAGCUGGCUGCAACUGUUUAUUAAAAACACAGCACUGUGCAAACACGAAAGUGGACGUAUACGGUGUGACGCCUGCCCGGUGCCGGAAGGUUAAUUGAUGGGGUUAUCCGUAAGGAGAAGCUCUUGAUCGAAGCCCCGGUAAACGGCGGCCGUAACUAUAACGGUCCUAAGGUAGCGAAAUUCCUUGUCGGGUAAGUUCCGACCUGCACGAAUGGCGUAAUGAUGGCCAGGCUGUCUCCACCCGAGACUCAGUGAAAUUGAACUCGCUGUGAAGAUGCAGUGUACCCGCGGCAAGACGGAAAGACCCCGUGAACCUUUACUAUAGCUUGACACUGAACAUUGAGCCUUGAUGUGUAGGAUAGGUGGGAGGCUUUGAAGCGUGGACGCCAGUCUGCGUGGAGCCAACCUUGAAAUACCACCCUUUAAUGUUUGAUGUUCUAACGUUGGCCCCUGACCGGGGUUGCGGACAGUGUCUGGUGGGUAGUUUGACUGGGGCGGUCUCCUCCCAAAGCGUAACGGAGGAGCACGAAGGUUAGCUAAUCCUGGUCGGACAUCAGGAGGUUAGUGCAAUGGCAUAAGCUAGCUUGACUGCGAGCGUGACGGCGCGAGCAGGUGCGAAAGCAGGUCAUAGUGAUCCGGUGGUUCUGAAUGGAAGGGCCAUCGCUCAACGGAUAAAAGGUACUCCGGGGAUAACAGGCUGAUACCGCCCAAGAGUUCAUAUCGACGGCGGUGUUUGGCACCUCGAUGUCGGCUCAUCACAUCCUGGGGCUGAAGUAGGUCCCAAGGGUAUGGCUGUUCGCCAUUUAAAGUGGUACGCGAGCUGGGUUUAGAACGUCGUGAGACAGUUCGGUCCCUAUCUGCCGUGGGCGCUGGAGAAUUGAGGGGGGCUGCUCCUAGUACGAGAGGACCGGAGUGGACGCAUCACUGGUGUUCGGGUUGUCAUGCCAAUGGCACUGCCCGGUAGCUAAAUGCGGAAGAGAUAAGUGCUGAAAGCAUCUAAGCACGAAACUUGCCCCGAGAUGAGUUCUCCCUGAGACUUUAAGUCUCCUGAAGGAACGUUAAAGACGAUGACGUUGAUAGGCCGGGUGUGUAAGCGCAGCGAUGCGUUGAGCUAACCGGUACUAAUGAACCGUGAGGCUUAACCUUACAACGCCGAAG